RNAcentral lists this ribosomal RNA (460 nucleotides) under uncultured bacterium. Its description in RNAcentral is "partial 16S ribosomal RNA". It matches the Rfam family "Bacterial small subunit ribosomal RNA", at positions 338 to 795 of the family's 1533-position model. The record is from RNAcentral.
CCUACGGGGGGCAGCAGUGAGGAAUGUUGGUCAAUGAGCGCGAGCCUGAACCAGCCAAGUAGCGUGAAGGAUGACUGCCCUACGGGUUGUAAACUUCUUUUAUAAAGGAAUAAAGUGAGGCACGUGUGCCUUUUUGUAUGUACUUUAUGAAUAAGGAUCGGCUAACUCCGUGCCAGCCGCCGCGGUAAUACGGAGGAUCCGAGCGUUAUCCGGAUUUAUUUGGUUUAAAGGGAGCGUAGAUGGGUUGUUAAGUCAGUUGUGAAAGUUUGCGGCUCAACCGCAAAAUUGCAAUUGAUACUGGCAGCCUUGAGUACAGUCGAGGUAGGCGGAAUUCGUGGUGUAGCGGUGAAAUGCUUAGAUAGAACGAAGAACUCCGAUUGCGAAGGCAGCCUACUAAACUGCCACUGACAUUGAUGCUCGAAAGUGUGGGUAUCAAACAGGAUUAGAUACCCGUGUAGUC